Molecule: transfer RNA, 66 nt
Filed under: Gonyosoma frenatum
Lineage: Eukaryota; Metazoa; Chordata; Lepidosauria; Squamata; Colubridae
Description: tRNA-His
Rfam family: tRNA
About the family: Transfer RNA (tRNA) molecules are approximately 80 nucleotides in length. Their secondary structure includes four short double-helical elements and three loops (D, anti-codon, and T loops).
Source: RNAcentral
GUGUGUGUAGUUUAAAAAAAACAUCAAACUGUGACCCUGACAAUAGGAAUUAACUCCUCGCACACC